UAAGCGAUAGUUCUUAAUAGAAAGCUGAGCAAUUGCCAGUUCAGCUCGCUGUGCCCUUCGUUCUGAUUCGUUCGUAUUCUUAUCUCUUAGGCACUGAUGCAUCUGUGACACCAGGAACCGAUUCUCUGCCGUCUCUCGCUGUGGUUGGAGCCUUUUUUUGAGGAAUCCUAACAGGAAGAUGAGUGCCGUCGGCUUGCAGGAUGAUGAAGAUACCUUUAAGAUACUGAUUGCUACUGAUAUUCAUCUGGGCUAUUUGGAGAAGGACCCAGUGCGAGGAAAUGACACAUUUGUAACUUNGCAGAAGAGACGUACAUUCCUUGUGGGAUUCUUUGAAGUCCACAAUAAAAGUGAACAUCGGUGUGGUUGGUUUUGGUUUUGUUUAGCUGGUUGGGUUUAUUUUGCUUGUGUUGGUUUGGGUUUUUUGUUUUCCCUGGCCUAAGGAGACAAACAGCAACAGCCAGUGCGGAAGAUUUAUUAAGCUGCAGAUCUGUUUUUCUCCUGCUGUGUGGGAAAGCACAAACUUUGUAGAAUUCAUGGUUUCUCUCUUGUUUUUAGAGAUUUUCUGAAUAUGCUCAAGAACUCCAUCCCUCCUCAGUCAUGUCUGGUUUUGGAGUGUUUCAUACAACAGAAUGUGCUCAUUCCACUGGCAAGAAAUAAAACAUCUCCUAUUUUUUAUUCAGCCCCUGGGGCGGCAUUUGGCACAGAAAGCUGACAGAGUUGUUAAACUCGACGUAGUUAAUGAAACUGCUUCCAGCAGUUAUUUAUAGGUAGAUCUCUUGUGAGAGUGCCUUGCAUUGCUAGAUAGGCUUCUAAUGUAACUAUGUUAUACUUAGAGUUCAUAAUCCCACCACAGACUUCUCAGUCACAAAAAUGACAGUCUUACCACAGGGUUGUUUUACUCUUUUUAAUAGAGUUCUAAUUAAAACACUAUAAAAUAUAGAUAGACCACAAAAAAUGUUUUAUUGUCUUGUUUUGUCCCCUACAGGGGCCAUUCCAGAUGAGAGGUUGUAUCGUAUGUUUGUCAAUAAACAAGUGACCAUGCUGAGACCAAAGGAAGAUGAAGACAGUUGGUUUAACUUGUUUGUGAUUCAUCAGAAUAGGUAGCAGUGCUGAAUGAAUUAUGGUGACAUAAACUUACCGUGUGUUCUCGUGAAACUGCUUUGAAAACUGCAGGAGAGAAAGCCAGCUGUGUUGGCUGGUGCUUCGUGUGAGUGGAUGGCCUCAAGAUAUUCCCAAUUAGAAGCACUGCUUUACAGCUGUUCUUACAGAAGAACCAUAAUGGAAACGAGUUGAAAUAAAUGAGUUGGAGAUGCUGGGAAGUUGCUUCCCAAACUCUUCAUACCUGAGAGCCAGGGAGGAUUUCAUUUAAGUCUAAAGUCUGCCUGUUAGAANCUGCUUCUGAGGGGGUGACACUGAGAGUGGAAGACCUUGUAAAGCAGUACUUUCAGACAGCAGAGAAGGUAUCUGUGUGCCUUUCAUGGAUUUGUGUAUGGGAUAUAUUUUUCCUUUAGUUGCACGUAUUACUUAAUUUAUGGAUGCAGUAUAUGCUGAAAAGACUGACAGCCACCGAGAAGUUCCUUUAUUUCCUAUAUAACUGUAUAUGCCUUAGGUAAGCAAUUAAUUGUUGCACGUAGGGUGCAUAGGGUGUAUGAACACACCCUGUUUUGGUAAAUCACAGUAGUUCUUCAUGUGAUGCAGUAGCAUCUGCCCUGCUCUAAAUGUUGCAUCCUGUUGCUACAGAAGGAAAGCCUGGGGCAGCAUGAGCUCAGAAGCUGCCUUCAUUUAUUAUGGGGAGCCAGUGAGGCCGUACCAGUUACAAGUACCAGCUGAGUUGGAAUCAUUUGUUAUACUGCAGUGUGUUUGGUGUCCUCAGACAUAGUGCAGUUCCACAUGUUUAAAGCGGAGCAGAGAGGCCAAAGGAAGCACCUGACAGUUUGCUUUUGUCUCACCCUUUCAUUAAACCAUAUCUACUGCCUUUCCCCAGCCAUGGGGCUGCAAAGUGUUAGGAGUAAAAUAUAGUGACCAGUGAGUCAGCCACCCAAAUGCUGAAUCUAGAAGCUAUUUCAGAACAUGCUUUAUAGAAGGUCUUUAGAACUAGGAUUCCUGAGGCAAAGAUCACCAAAUUUAUAUCACCUUGCCUAACACAGGCCCCUCUAAAUUAAGCUCUGGAACGGCUCAUUGCUGUCUGAAUACGGUAGGGAAUGGAACCCAGGAUGAGCAGUUGAGAAGCAAGCAGUGCUUCAAAUGUAUGCCAUCCCUGAAUCCCAUGGAGGGAAGUAGCAGGGUCAAACACUGUGCUAUUCUAUGAAGAAUAAUUCUGCUUUUAAACUGUUUUCCUCCCUUAUUCUGCAAAAUUGUCCCUCUUAGACCAUCUUCCCUGCUUCUUUGUAUAUUCUUAUAUAAACAGCUUGUAUAAACCAGUCCCAGCAUUUGAGGUCUGUUUCAGCUGCUCAGAAUCUCUAAAAGACCUGAACGAGUCAGCUGAUGUUCCUGGGAGGCUUACAGUAGGGGGAGAAUGCAUUUCAAGUCAACAGUGCUCAAGGAAGAAAGAAAAGUGGAGCAAGUAUGUUGCCCCCUAAGAUGGGGGCAGGGCUUGUGCUUCAGGCUCUGCUAGGCACCUUGUCUUGUCUGAUUAGGUGGGCAGAACAGCAGUCAGACCCUGAGGUGGCACAGGGCUGUAGUUGGGUGUUCCAAAAAUGUUAAACCCCAAAUGUCUAACAGGUGGCAGGCAGUUCGGUUCCACUGUUGCUGGUAAGCUGAGCCUUGGGAAAUGAAAUCACUGCUAUUUGUUUCUUUAGGAAGGUUUUUUUUUCCCCUCCUUCAGAGGAAACCUUAAUUGCUGAAUGUCAGCAUUAACGUUCUGCAUCAUUGCAGUCGGUCCCUCUCUUGAGGUGCUCACCUUAUUGUUUUGUGAACUUAAUUUUUUACAAUAGCAUAAAAAUCGAUUCCCCUGUUAAGCAUUAUUUCAGGGAACGUUUUUUGCUUCUGGUGUAACUCACAGUACAGUUCCUAAAGGACAAGUGGAAGGAUCAAGAGCAAUUAAGAAGUACAUAUAAUGCUUUUUAUUAAGAAAUUGUCCAUGCUUUUGUUUACAGUCAGAAGAAGUUGCUGUUGAAACACUUUCCUUAUAGGGGUUUCUUUCUCAGAGUGUCUUUUCUUACUCUACUGGGGUAAAGAAGAUGAAGAGAAUGGCAGUGAAACACCACCAGUAGCUUCUGUUACUUCUGCUAAUUAGCGCUGGUGGUAAUCUCUCAUGUAGAGUGUUUUGUUGAACAUCAUCUCACUUGAUGACCAAGUAUUGGUAUUCACACAGUUUCAUUUCAGUAGAGUAGAUUUCUGCUUCAUAGCUCUUUAAUGCUUCAGAAUAAUUUAGUCAGCUCUGUAACUGUCAGUUUUUUAAUAGUAGUAUUUUACAAUAAAACUAAUUAGCUUAGCUUUUGUAAUACUUCGGUGCCUGUUUCUAAUUACCUUUUAUGUCUCCACAAGUAGAUCUCCAUUAAUUUUAAAGUGGGGAGUGGGCUAGGAAAAAAAUACGGCUCACCAUCUCCCUCAGUGAUACCUUUGAGACAAAUUGUUCUAGAUACAACCAGCACUGCAAUUUCCUUACCACUUAUGAAAUAUAAUCUGGAUAUAUACUACAUUAGGUGAGGCGUAACGUGCUCAUAGCAAGUGAGCUGUCCCUGUUGGGAGGAGCGGUGUUUGCUUGUUGCUCGGUUAUGUUCUGAUUGAAAUCUUCAACGCUACUUCAUUGUCACUUCUUUUGAAUCCAAACGCGGUGUUUAGCUGGAGCAGCGGGAGCAUCACUCACUGAAACUGUUUUCCCCUUAUUUUAAAGAAAGUACAACUUU
This 3848-nucleotide long non-coding RNA is filed under the name Pavo cristatus (Indian peafowl). RNAcentral's name for it is "lncRNA (ENSPSTG00000017974.1)". The record is from RNAcentral. Lineage: Eukaryota; Metazoa; Chordata; Aves; Galliformes; Phasianidae.